UUUCCGUAGGUGAACCUGCGGAAGGAUCAUUGAUGGGGCUGUGGAGCCUAUAAUACCUAUUCAAACCUUUGUGAACCGGGUCGUGAGACCAAGUCGUGGGAUCUCGGUCCUGCGCGCCUUACACACGUAUUAGUCCAGUCUAGAAAGAAAAAGUUAUACAACUUUCAACAAUGGAUCUCUUGGCUCUCGCAUCGAUGAAGAACGCAGC
Molecule: unclassified non-coding RNA, 208 nt
Filed under: uncultured fungus
Lineage: Eukaryota; Fungi
Description: sequence contains ITS1, 5.8S rRNA gene
Rfam family: 5.8S ribosomal RNA (bases 160-208)
Source: RNAcentral